UUUGGAGAUCCAACCGUCGAAAU
Molecule: small nuclear RNA, 23 nt
Filed under: Arabidopsis thaliana (thale cress)
Lineage: Eukaryota; Viridiplantae; Streptophyta; Magnoliopsida; Brassicales; Brassicaceae
Description: snRNA_02414
Source: RNAcentral